This 71-nucleotide transfer RNA is filed under the name Sphaerodactylus townsendi. RNAcentral describes it as "tRNA-Ser". The record is from RNAcentral. Lineage: Eukaryota; Metazoa; Chordata; Lepidosauria; Squamata; Sphaerodactylidae.
UAUUUGGCAUAGUUGGUUGAGUAUUUGCCUACUGCCCAAAAGGUUGCUGGUUCAACUCUAGCUGAGAAUAA